UGGGGAAUAUUGGACAAUGGGCGAAAGCCUGAUCCAGCAAUGCCGCGUGUGUGAAGAAGGUCUUCGGAUUGUAAAGCACUUUAAGUUGGGAGGAAGGGCAUUAACCUAAUACGUUAGUGUUUUGACGUUACCGACAGAAUAAGCACCGGCUAACUCUGUGCCAGCAGCCGCGGUAAUACAGAGGGUGCAAGCGUUAAUCGGAAUUACUGGGCGUAAAGCGCGCGUAGGUGGUUUGUUAAGUUGGAUGUGAAAUCCCCGGGCUCAACCUGGGAACUGCAUUCAAAACUGACUGACUAGAGUAUGGUAGAGGGUGGUGGAAUUUCCUGUGUAGCGGUGAAAUGCGUAGAUAUAGGAAGGAACACCAGUGGCGAAGGCGACCACCUGGACUAAUACUGACACUGAGGUGCGAAAGCGUGGGGAGCAAACA
Molecule: ribosomal RNA, 427 nt
Filed under: uncultured bacterium
Lineage: Bacteria
Description: partial 16S ribosomal RNA
Rfam family: Bacterial small subunit ribosomal RNA
Source: RNAcentral